CAGAGAGGAUAAGAAAGUAAAGAUGAAGUAGCUGCUGUUCAUUUUUAGUGAGAAGUCUCUGGAAUGAAAGUGUCUUGCCUGACAGAGAUGUUGGUCAAGUGGAUCCCACUUUCCUGACACCACAUGUCCAGGAGGCAGUGCAGCUCAGGAGAGACAGACACAGAAGGCUGGGCAGUACAGAGCCGUUAAGAUUUAGGUUGCUAUGAAAUGCCUUCAGUUUGCUCCAGAGGCCAGCGCCCCAUCAUCUGGUCCACAGCAAGUGACCGAAACUGCUCAAGUUGCUCACUAAACUGCUCAAGUUGCUCUCAUUGUAACCAGUAGCCCACCUCCUACUAAGGCGACCAGCUUGCAGCGCUUGUUCUAAAUGUGAGCUCAUCCUUAUACAGUGAGAGAGAGAAUGAAUUUCUGUGAACUUGUGUUCUGCACCUCUAUUUAUACAUCCACAUGU
Bos taurus (domestic cattle) is the source of this 448-nucleotide long non-coding RNA. NCBI's taxonomy places the organism in Eukaryota, Metazoa, Chordata, Mammalia, Artiodactyla, Bovidae. The record is from Ensembl.